Molecule: long non-coding RNA, 985 nt
Filed under: Crocodylus porosus (Australian saltwater crocodile)
Lineage: Eukaryota; Metazoa; Chordata; Crocodylia; Crocodylidae
Description: lncRNA (ENSCPRG00005001221.1)
Source: RNAcentral
CCCAGGGCUUGAAAGCGAGUGCUGGGGACGAGUGCAGAGAAGCCCACGUCUGAGCUUGUGGGGGGACACAGAAAGCCCUGCACCCCCCGGGACCCACCGCUGCUGCAGCACAGACAAAGCCACAGACUGUUUGCUGGUUAAUCACUCGAGGCAGCACAACUAUGAUGAUGACAUGCUGAAGCAGAAAAGCACAACACGUGGUGUCUGAUGAAGUUGGGGAUGGGAACAAGAGAAAAAUGAAUACCACGAAGGGUCGUCGCAAAGUUGCCGAAGCAGCUGAAAUACCGGUGACUCGAGUCAUUCAUCCUGAAGUUUCCGAAACUGCACUGAAACUCGAUACAGCGAUUGCCUGGACUAAUGGACCGCCAUGAACUUCAUACUGAACUUCAGCCGGACAAAGCUGGGAUGGUUUAGUUGGAGAUGACCCUGCCUUGGCCCGGGGCUGGACUAGAUGACCUUGGGAGGUCUCUUCCAGCCCCGUUUUCCUAUGAUUUACAGCAAGUAAGGACUCGGCCCAUAACUCAGCAACCAAUACUACACACAACCUAACAGAUACGGCUUUGACUCUCGACUCACCUACUUCAGUAGAAAAUCUGUGAAGACCUUGAAAGCACCUUUAAUGCGGUCGUGGGGUCUACAUUAUUGGAGAGGGGGAUUAAAAAGGUUUGGCACCGUGCAGAAAUUUGAUUGUGGACUCAAGGAAACCCUCGCUGAAGACGAGAAGAAGCUGUGCAGACCGCAGACAGCUACUCCCUACUCCCACAGGAAAUGCAAAAAACCAUCAACCUCUAGUCAAUGUAUGGACUCCGCAACAUUGGUCCAGAUUCAAAAUUAGGCAAAGCUCAUUCAAGACCACUGCCAUUGUCUGCUAAGCUCUGCAUGUCAUUUAGCAGCUGGGCUCAACGAGUAAAAUGCAAAAUGUCAAAAUGACGGUUAGAGUUACAUUCCUAUACUGGACUUCCAGAAGGCUUUCGACGCUGUCUCU